GGUGCUCUUGCUGCGUUCAGGGCGCAGUGUCCCGUCAGGAGUCCGCAGAAAGAUUCGCUGCUGCACACCGGAAUUCAACACAACAAUGGCUUCUCCCUGUCCGGAAAGCAACUCCAAACAGUCCAGCAGCACUGUGGGGUCCGCGUCGCCUCGCUUCCAGCAGCAGAGCCCGGGCAGCAGCAUGCAGGAAACCAACACCUGCUGGAGAUGUCAAAAUGAAACAGGUAAACGAAAAGCUCUGAAGCUGAAUUUCGCCAACCCUCCAGUGAAAGCGGCCUCCAGGCUCCCGCUCCAUCCAACCGCCCCCCCUUUCCAGAAUCCUCACAUAGAGCGUCUACGCACACACAGCAUCGAGUCAUCUGGGAAGCUGAAAAUCUCUCCGGAGCAGCACUGUGACUUUACAGCAGAGGACCUCAGGGACCUUGGGGAGAUUGGGCGCGGAGCCUACGGUUCUGUCAACAAGAUGGUACACAAACCCACAGAACAGAUCAUGGCUGUCAAGAGGAUCCGCUCCACGGUGGAUGAGAAGGAGCAGAAGCAGCUGCUGAUGGAUCUGGACGUGGUGAUGAGGAGCAGCGACUGUCCCUACAUCGUCCAGUUUUACGGGGCCCUCUUCAGAGAGGGCGACUGUUGGAUUUGUAUGGAACUUAUGGCUACCUCAUUAGACAAAUUCUACAAAUAUGUAUAUUGUGCAUUAGAUGACGUCAUUCCAGAGGAAAUAUUAGGCAAAAUAACAUUAGCGACCGUUAAAGCACUGAACCACUUGAAAGAAAAUUUGAAAAUUAUUCACAGAGACAUCAAACCCUCCAACAUUCUAAUGGACCGGACAGGAAACAUCAAGCUGUGUGACUUCGGCAUCAGCGGGCAGCUGGUGGACUCCAUCGCCAAGACCCGAGACGCCGGCUGCAGGCCCUACAUGGCGCCGGAGAGGAUCGACCCCAGCGCGUCCCGGCAGGGCUACGAUGUGCGCUCUGAUGUGUGGAGCCUGGGGAUCACUCUGUGUGUGUUUGCUUUCAGUACGAGCUGGCCACGGGAAGGUUCCCCUACCCCAAGUGGAACAGUGUGUUCGAUCAGCUGACACAGGUGGUGAAAGGGGAGCCCCCCCAGCUCAGCAGCUCAGAGGACAGGCAGUUCUCCCCUAAGUUCAUCAACUUUGUUAACCUCAGCCUCACAAAGGAUGAAUCCAAACGGCCCAAGUACAAGGAGCUUCUGAAACAUCCCUUCAUUCUGAUGUACGAAGAGCGCUUUGUGGACGUCGCCAGUUACGUAUGUCGCAUCCUGGAUCAGUUCCCCCCCUCUCCCCUCUCCCCCAUGUUUGUGGACUGAUGGAGGGAACACCGGAGCCCUCAGUUAUUCAGAGGAACUGAGUCUCACCGCCUGAAGCUCAAACAUCUUCACUCGUCUGCAGCUGGGGAAAAUUAGAUGCAUCUUUUUAUGAAGCGAAACCGGAAUAAAGCGCGUGUGUGUGAAUGUACAAAAUAUGCAAUCUGUGAGACAACAUGUACAUUCAUCAAACCUAAUGUCAGCCGCAGUAUGCAUCAUUGUUUCAGUUAGAGCUCAGCUGAAAUCCUUUACCAAGAUGAUCAUUACACUUUUCUGUGUUUAGUUAUUAACAGAAUUGCAGCUUCUGUCCUUCAGUCCGAUAGAUCAUCGAUAUUUUUGUCUAAUGCUCAGUAAAAAAACACUUAUCUUCUU
Molecule: RNA transcript, 1695 nt
Organism: Trematomus bernacchii (emerald rockcod)
Lineage: Eukaryota; Metazoa; Chordata; Actinopteri; Perciformes; Nototheniidae
Gene: map2k4b
Gene name: mitogen-activated protein kinase kinase 4b
Exons: 12
Source: RefSeq, a predicted model, not a curated record